UGAAAAAUAAUUAGCUGACAUAUUCACAAAACCCUUGAGUGAAGAUAGAUUCUGCACGCUAAGGAGGAAAUUAGGCAUAUGUGAUCCUUUUUAUUAAAGAGAUAUAAAAGGGAGCAAGCAGUCUCAUGAUACAUUCCUCCCAUUUCUAAAAAUCCAUGAAACAUGAGUCAAACUUGUCAUCUAUAGAUUUCUUACUCAUGUAUCAUUGUCCCAGAAAGAAUUUGUAAGGAUUGGAAGCAAGAAAAAUUUUUAGAAGCAAAAAGGAAGAGAAAGGAAAAAUUUCUGAACUUGGGUCGACCCGACCCAGAAUAGGGUCGACCCAACGUUGAGUCGACCCAAGAAAAUUCUUGAGUCGACCCAACGUCGGGACCCCACUGUUAAAAGGGAGACCCGUGAGCUAUCUAAG
This 406-nucleotide long non-coding RNA is filed under the name Phoenix dactylifera (date palm). RNAcentral describes it as "long non-coding RNA (PDAC_LNC012714)". The record is from RNAcentral. Lineage: Eukaryota; Viridiplantae; Streptophyta; Magnoliopsida; Arecales; Arecaceae.